RNAcentral lists this ribosomal RNA (558 nucleotides) under uncultured Aquitalea sp. Its description in RNAcentral is "bacterial SSU rRNA". It matches the Rfam family "Bacterial small subunit ribosomal RNA", at positions 364 to 918 of the family's 1533-position model. The record is from RNAcentral. Lineage: Bacteria; Pseudomonadati; Pseudomonadota; Betaproteobacteria; Neisseriales; Chromobacteriaceae.
UUGCAUUGGGCGCAGCCUGAUCCAGCCAUGCCGCGUGUCUGAAGAAGGCCUUCGGGUUGUAAAGGACUUUUGUCAGGGAGGAAAUCCCUAGGGCUAAUAUCGCUGGGGGAUGACAGUACCUGAAGAAUAAGCACCGGCUAACUACGUGCCAGCAGCCGCGGUAAUACGUAGGGUGCAAGCGUUAAUCGGAAUUACUGGGCGUAAAGCGUGCGCAGGCGGUUGUGUAAGUCUGAUGUGAAAGCCCCGGGCUCAACCUGGGAACUGCAUUGGAGACUGCACAACUAGAGUGCGUCAGAGGGGGGUAGAAUUCCACGUGUAGCAGUGAAAUGCGUAGAGAUGUGGAGGAAUACCGAUGGCGAAGGCAGCCCCCUGGGAUGACACUGACGCUCAUGCACGAAAGCGUGGGGAGCAAACAGGAUUAGAUACCCUGGUAGUCCACGCCCUAAACGAUGUCAAUUAGCUGUUGGGGGUUUGAAUCCUUGGUAGCGUAGCUAACGCGUGAAAUUGACCGCCUGGGGAGUACGGCCGCAAGGUUAAAACUCAAGAAAUUUGGAGGGA